CGACUCUCGGCAACGGAUAUCUCGGCUCUCGCAUCGAUGAAGAACGUAGCGAAAUGCGAUACUUGGUGUGAAUUGCAGAAUCCCGUGAACCAUCGAGUCUUUGAACGCAAGUUGCGCCCGAAGCCGUCCGGCCGAGGGCACGUCUGCCUGGGUGUCACG
Molecule: ribosomal RNA, 159 nt
Filed under: Senegalia senegal
Lineage: Eukaryota; Viridiplantae; Streptophyta; Magnoliopsida; Fabales; Fabaceae
Description: 5.8S ribosomal RNA
Rfam family: 5.8S ribosomal RNA
About the family: 5.8S ribosomal RNA (5.8S rRNA) is a component of the large subunit of the eukaryotic ribosome.
Source: RNAcentral